RNAcentral lists this ribosomal RNA (97 nucleotides) under Dendrobium crepidatum. RNAcentral's name for it is "partial 28S ribosomal RNA". It matches the Rfam family "Eukaryotic large subunit ribosomal RNA", at positions 1 to 94 of the family's 3401-position model. The record is from RNAcentral. Lineage: Eukaryota; Viridiplantae; Streptophyta; Magnoliopsida; Asparagales; Orchidaceae.
AUGUGACCCCAGGAUGGGCGAGGCUACCCGCUGAGUUUAAGCAUAUCAAUAAGCGGAGGAGAAGAAACUUACGAGGAUUCCCCUAGUAACGGCGAGU